GGUUAAGCGACUAAGCGUACACGGUGGAUGCCCUGGCAGUCAGAGGCGAUGAAGGACGUGCUAAUCUGCGAUAAGCGCCGGUAAGGUGAUAUGAACCGUUAUAACCGGCGAUUUCCGAAUGGGGAAACCCAGUGUGAUUCGUCACACUAUCAUUAACUGAAUCCAUAGGUUAAUGAGGCGAACCGGGGGAACUGAAACAUCUAAGUACCCCGAGGAAAAGAAAUCAACCGAGAUUCCCCCAGUAGCGGCGAGCGAACGGGGAGGAGCCCAGAGCCUGAAUCAGCAUGUGUGUUAGUGGAAGCGUCUGGAAAGGCGCGCGAUACAGGGUGACAGCCCCGUACACAAAAGCGCAUGUGCUGUGAGCUCGAUGAGUAGGGCGGGACACGUGGUAUCCUGUCUGAAUAUGGGGGGACCAUCCUCCAAGGCUAAAUACUCCUGACUGACCGAUAGUGAACCAGUACCGUGAGGGAAAGGCGAAAAGAACCCCGGCGAGGGGAGUGAAAAAGAACCUGAAACCGUGUACGUACAAGCAGUGGGAGCACCCUUUGGGGUGUGACUGCGUACCUUUUGUAUAAUGGGUCAGCGACUUAUAUUCUGUAGCAAGGUUAACCGUAUAGGGGAGCCGUAGGGAAACCGAGUCUUAACCGGGCGUUAAGUUGCAGGGUAUAGACCCGAAACCCGGUGAUCUAGCCAUGGGCAGGUUGAAGGUUGGGUAACACUAACUGGAGGACCGAACCGACUAAUGUUGAAAAAUUAGCGGAUGACCUGUGGCUGGGGGUGAAAGGCCAAUCAAACCGGGAGAUAGCUGGUUCUCCCCGAAAGCUAUUUAGGUAGCGCCUCGUGAAUUCAUCUCCGGGGGUAGAGCACUGUUUCGGCUAGGGGGCCAUCCCGGCUUACCAACCCGAUGCAAACUGCGAAUACCGGAGAAUGUUAUCACGGGAGACACACGGCGGGUGCUAACGUCCGUCGUGAAGAGGGAAACAACCCAGACCGCCAGCUAAGGUCCCAAAGUCAUGGUUAAGUGGGAAACGAUGUGGGAAGGCCCAGACAGCCAGGAUGUUGGCUUAGAAGCAGCCAUCAUUUAAAGAAAGCGUAAUAGCUCACUGGUCGAGUCGGCCUGCGCGGAAGAUGUAACGGGGCUAAACCAUGCACCGAAGCUGCGGCAGCGACGCUGAUGCGUUGUUGGGUAGGGGAGCGUUCUGUAAGCCUGCGAAGGUGACCUGUGAGGGUUGCUGGAGGUAUCAGAAGUGCGAAUGCUGACAUAAGUAACGAUAAAGCGGGUGAAAAGCCCGCUCGCCGGAAGACCAAGGGUUCCUGUCCAACGUUAAUCGGGGCAGGGUGAGUCGACCCCUAAGGCGAGGCCGAAAGGCGUAGUCGAUGGGAAACGGGUUAAUAUUCCCGUACUUGGUGUUACUGCGAAGGGGGGACGGAGAAGGCUAUGUUGGCCGGGCGACGGUUGUCCCGGUUUAAGCGUGUAGGUGUGUGUUCCAGGUAAAUCCGGUUCACUUUAACACUGAGGCGUGACGACGAGGCACUACGGUGCUGAAGCAACAAAUGCCCUGCUUCCAGGAAAAGCCUCUAAGCAUCAGGUAACAUCAAAUCGUACCCCAAACCGACACAGGUGGUCAGGUAGAGAAUACCAAGGCGCUUGAGAGAACUCGGGUGAAGGAACUAGGCAAAAUGGUGCCGUAACUUCGGGAGAAGGCACGCUGACACGUAGGUGAAGUGAUUUACUCAUGGAGCUGAAGUCAGUCGAAGAUACCAGCUGGCUGCAACUGUUUAUUAAAAACACAGCACUGUGCAAACACGAAAGUGGACGUAUACGGUGUGACGCCUGCCCGGUGCCGGAAGGUUAAUUGAUGGGGUCAGCGCAAGCGAAGCUCCUGAUCGAAGCCCCGGUAAACGGCGGCCGUAACUAUAACGGUCCUAAGGUAGCGAAAUUCCUUGUCGGGUAAGUUCCGACCUGCACGAAUGGCGUAAUGAUGGCCAGGCUGUCUCCACCCGAGACUCAGUGAAAUUGAACUCGCUGUGAAGAUGCAGUGUACCCGCGGCAAGACGGAAAGACCCCGUGAACCUUUACUAUAGCUUGACACUGAACAUUGAGCCUUGAUGUGUAGGAUAGGUGGGAGGCUUUGAAGUGUGGACGCCAGUCUGCAUGGAGCCGACCUUGAAAUACCACCCUUUAAUGUUUGAUGUUCUAACGUGGACCCGUUACCCGGGUUGCGGACAGUGUCUGGUGGGUAGUUUGACUGGGGCGGUCUCCUCCUAAAGAGUAACGGAGGAGCACGAAGGUUGGCUAAUCCUGGUCGGACAUCAGGAGGUUAGUGCAAUGGCAUAAGCCAGCUUGACUGCGAGCGUGACGGCGCGAGCAGGUGCGAAAGCAGGUCAUAGUGAUCCGGUGGUUCUGAAUGGAAGGGCCAUCGCUCAACGGAUAAAAGGUACUCCGGGGAUAACAGGCUGAUACCGCCCAAGAGUUCAUAUCGACGGCGGUGUUUGGCACCUCGAUGUCGGCUCAUCACAUCCUGGGGCUGAAGUAGGUCCCAAGGGUAUGGCUGUUCGCCAUUUAAAGUGGUACGCGAGCUGGGUUUAGAACGUCGUGAGACAGUUCGGUCCCUAUCUGCCGUGGGCGCUGGAGAACUGAGGGGGGCUGCUCCUAGUACGAGAGGACCGGAGUGGACGCAUCACUGGUGUUCGGGUUGUCAUGCCAAUGGCACUGCCCGGUAGCUAAAUGCGGAAGAGAUAAGUGCUGAAAGCAUCUAAGCACGAAACUUGCCCCGAGAUGAGUUCUCCCUGAGACUUAGAGUCUCCUGAAGGAACGUUGAAGACGACGACGUUGAUAGGCCGGGUGUGUAAGCGCAGCGAUGCGUUGAGCUAACCGGUACUAAUGAACCGUGAGGCUUAACCUU
RNAcentral lists this ribosomal RNA (2906 nucleotides) under Salmonella enterica subsp. enterica serovar Heidelberg. RNAcentral describes it as "23S ribosomal RNA". It matches the Rfam family "Bacterial large subunit ribosomal RNA". The record is from RNAcentral. Lineage: Bacteria; Pseudomonadati; Pseudomonadota; Gammaproteobacteria; Enterobacterales; Enterobacteriaceae.